GAGGGUAUAGCUCAAGUGGUAGAGCGCCUGCUUAGCAUGCAUGAGGUCCUGGGUUCAAUCCCCAGUACCUCCA
Molecule: transfer RNA, 73 nt
Filed under: Camelus bactrianus (Bactrian camel)
Lineage: Eukaryota; Metazoa; Chordata; Mammalia; Artiodactyla; Camelidae
Also listed under: 1 other name
Rfam family: tRNA
About the family: Transfer RNA (tRNA) molecules are approximately 80 nucleotides in length. Their secondary structure includes four short double-helical elements and three loops (D, anti-codon, and T loops).
Source: Rfam by way of RNAcentral